ACUGCAUGGUGUGGACAUUUUUGAAUUAGGUCCUUUAACCUCUCCUAUAUUUCGUGGAACAUUUCCCCACCUAUUUGGGAAAAACUGUUUAUAGCUUUUCUAAUCU
Molecule: small nucleolar RNA, 106 nt
Organism: Elaeis guineensis (African oil palm)
Lineage: Eukaryota; Viridiplantae; Streptophyta; Magnoliopsida; Arecales; Arecaceae
Source: RefSeq, a predicted model, not a curated record